This 253-nucleotide ribosomal RNA is filed under the name uncultured bacterium. RNAcentral's name for it is "partial 16S ribosomal RNA". It matches the Rfam family "Bacterial small subunit ribosomal RNA", at positions 524 to 776 of the family's 1533-position model. The record is from RNAcentral.
UACGUAGGGGACAAGCGUUGUCCGGAAUCAUUGGGCGUAAAGAGCGUGUAGGCGGCUCGAUAAGUCUGCUGUGAAAGUCCAGGGCUCAACCCUGGAAGGCCGGUGGAAACUGUCGGGCUAGAGUCCGGAAGAGGCGAGUGGAAUUCCCGGUGUAGCGGUGAAAUGCGCAGAUAUCGGGAAGAACACCCGUGGCGAAGGCGGCUCUCUGGGACGGUACUGACGCUGAGACGCGAAAGCGUGGGGAGCGAACAGG